GCCAGAUCCUAAUAUAGUAGUAGAAUAUCUGCUUUAUCCUGCUUUAGUGUAUACAAUUAUUCAGGGCAUUUCGUGUACACUAAAUGCAAUCCUUGAUCAUUAAGAAAACUUAAUCCUAACCUCUCAUUUCAUUCAAGUGGGCAUCAAUUUAAUAUCAUGGAGGUGUAAUGCAAAAUUUCUCACUGCAAUUUAUCUUGUGUAGAGCAGACUGCUGAUAAACUUGAACCAGGCCCACAUUCAUGGAUAUCAUCACAUCCACACAAGAGCUU
This 269-nucleotide unclassified non-coding RNA is filed under the name Hevea brasiliensis (rubber tree). The record is from RNAcentral. Lineage: Eukaryota; Viridiplantae; Streptophyta; Magnoliopsida; Malpighiales; Euphorbiaceae.